RNAcentral lists this ribosomal RNA (251 nucleotides) under uncultured prokaryote. Its description in RNAcentral is "partial 16S ribosomal RNA". It matches the Rfam family "Bacterial small subunit ribosomal RNA", at positions 525 to 775 of the family's 1533-position model. The record is from RNAcentral.
ACGAAGGGUGCAAGCGUUAAUCGGAAUUGCUGGGCGUAAAGGGUGCGUAGGCGGUUCGUUAAGUCUGUCGUGAAAUCCCCGGGCUCAACCUGGGAAUGGCGAUGGAUACUGGCGAGCUAGAGUGUGUCAGAGGAUGGUGGAAUUCCCGGUGUAGCGGUGAAAUGCGUAGAGAUCGGGAGGAACACCAGUGGCGAAAGCGGCACCCUGGCAUUGGCCUGACGCUGAGGUGCGAAAGCGUGGGGAGCAAACGG